GAUAAAUCGUUGACAGGGAUAAGUAUAAAGCCAGGGCCUUUAAAGAGAGAGUCUUCAUCGGCUGGAAAAGACUUAAGCGCCGGGCUUUAGAAAUGCACCUCUUGAGACCUUUGAAGAACGUUUUUAUAACAAGUAUUCAAAGGCGGUAUCCGCCGUUAUGGAUGAGAGUUGAGAAAACAGCUGUGCUGUUUUCUAAACAGAGUGGAACCGCGCGUCAAAAAGCGUCUCUGUC
This 232-nucleotide non-coding RNA is filed under the name Bacillus licheniformis. Its description in RNAcentral is "T-box sequence". It matches the Rfam family "T-box leader". Rfam says of the family: Uncharged tRNA acts as the effector for transcription antitermination of genes in the T-box leader family. T-boxes are found upstream of many aminoacyl-tRNA synthetase genes and some amino acid biosynthetic genes usually in Gram-positive bacteria. The record is from RNAcentral. RNAcentral also lists the same sequence under 1 other name. Lineage: Bacteria; Bacillati; Bacillota; Bacilli; Caryophanales; Bacillaceae.